AGCUUUGUGCAGUGGCAGUAUCAUAGCCAAUGAGGUUUAUCUGAGGCGCAAUUAUUGCUAAUUGAAAACUUUCCCAAAUACCCUGCCAUGAUGACCUGAAAUAUAGUUGGCAUUGGCAAUUUUUGACAGUCUCUAUGGAGA
Small nuclear RNA from Octodon degus (degu), 141 nucleotides. Its record names the gene U4. It matches the Rfam family "U4 spliceosomal RNA". Rfam says of the family: U4 small nuclear RNA (U4 snRNA) is a component of the major U2-dependent spliceosome. The structure of U4 snRNA from yeast and human has been reported. U4 snRNA presents a k-turn RNA motif in the 5p-SL related to recognition of Snu13 protein. Lineage: Eukaryota; Metazoa; Chordata; Mammalia; Rodentia; Octodontidae. The record is from Ensembl.